AACACGCUGUUCCUGCUUUCCCUGGUGGGAGUUGAAAACAGAAGCAAAAGGUCAGAUCUUCUUAUUGAUCAGAAAAACCCCGUUGAAGCUCCAGUCCUCGUGUCCGACGAGGCUGACCAACGACCAUCAGAUGGGGAGCCUCCCAGCAGAACGUUGGUCAUCACCACAUCCUUCAGCUGAGGUUCUGGUAGGAUCCAAUACUUGACCAAGAGCCAACACAGGACACACUGGACUUGACUGUUGCACAUCUGACUUACUGACUUGAACUCUGGAUCCACAACAACAGUUCCUAAACCGAAAUCCUUGGAAGGACAAUUGUAUUUUUCCUUUUAUUAUUAUUUUUUAAGGGCCCAUAUGUACAAUAAUUAAUGUGCACUGUUCCAAUAAAAAGUCACCUUUUAUUAUUCAUA
This is a long non-coding RNA of Stegastes partitus (bicolor damselfish), 410 nucleotides long. RefSeq lists it as uncharacterized. The record is from RefSeq and is a predicted model, not a curated record. Lineage: Eukaryota; Metazoa; Chordata; Actinopteri; Pomacentridae. The transcript has 2 exons.